ACCUGAUCGUUGCAGAGGGGGGCCCACAGCACACUCUCCUUUCCCUUCCAAGCAGCUCCCUUCAGCUCAUCUGUCUAAAUCUUGCGAGUCCCGCGGCCGCAAGAGUUAGACAGCGGAGCUGCUGGGAAGGGAAGUGAGAGUGUGCUGCGGGCCCCCUUCUGCAGAGUCCAG
RNAcentral lists this microRNA precursor (171 nucleotides) under Pelobates cultripes (western spadefoot toad). The record is from RNAcentral. Lineage: Eukaryota; Metazoa; Chordata; Amphibia; Anura; Pelobatidae.